ACAUCUCACUAUAUCUAUCUAGCUCUAUAUAUAAUCUGUUAUUUAGCCCUUGUAAUAAUUCUACUGUAUCAGAGAUAGUAGUGUUGUGCUGGUCCAACCCCUGGUCCAACCCCUCAACCUACGUGUGAAUUCAGUUAGUCCACAAGGGGGCACAUGUUAUUCACGACAAAACCAUCAGUAGUUCAACAGGAAUUGCUUUAGGGAAUGCGAACCAUAAUAUAAACCUUUUUUAACCACUUUAAAGAUAUUAAUAAAAUGAUCAUCCCUGAGGUCAUUUUUGCUAUUCUAAAUCCAAAGCUUAUCAUUUUAAUGCAGUUUUAAUUUUUGUAUUAAAAAAAAAGUCAAUAUACUGUCCUUUUACUUAAUUUUUUCAUUUUAGCAAUUUAGCAGACGCUCUUACCCAGAACGACUUACAGGAGCAAUUAGGAUUAAGUGCCUUGCUCAAGGGCACAUUGACAGAUUUUUCACUUAGUCAGCUCAGAGAUUCUGUAUUAUAUGGGUGGGUUGAGACCAAAGUCAUGCCAUGAAUUUUAUCCCCAGCUCAUGCUUAUGUAAAUUACCUCCACUAAUGAAACUGUGAAUAACAUGACUUUAUUUCCUCAGCUUAUAUUGUGAGGCAGAUGGAGCUAUAGAACAGCAUGUCAGAAUAAAUGCAGUUGGUGAACAUGAAGCUGCUACUUUGGGCUGCUGAAAGUAAACAAAUGGGGCCCCAGGGAGAGCAGGGCUGCUGGAGGCAGCACAGUGCUGGACUAGGCUGCCUUCUCCUGAUGUGUAUGUAGCUGAAACCAAACAGAGCUUUCAUGGAGGGUUUGAUCAACAGGCCAACAAUGGACACCAUAUUGCAUGGGGGUAGUGGUACUGAUAUCUCUGAUUCUCAUACAUAAUGUCUCUGCUGCCAUAUUCCUGGCAGGUCUCUCUGUAACAGGCCUCUCUGCGCCAAUAGAGUAGGUUGAUAUCAGAUCGUCACGAGACCAAAAAAGUUGGUCAUUAAUGGAAGUGUAUGGACAUUUUCAGCUGGGGAUUUUGUACACUUGAAUAGGGGAAGGGGCAUUGGUUAUAGAUACACUACUGUUCAAAAGUUUGUGGUCACUUAGAAAUGCCCUUGUUUUUGAAAGAAAAGCCCAUUUUAUUGUCCAUUAAAAUCACAUCACAUUGAUCAGAAAUACAGUGCAGACAUUGUUAAUGUUGUAAAUGAUUAUUGUAGCUGGAAACGGCUGAUUUUUAAUGGAAUAUAGGCGUACAGUGACCCAUUAUCAGCAACCAUCACUUUAUGUUUCAUUGGCACAUUGUGUUAGCUAAUCCAAGGUUAUCAUUUUAAAAGGCUAAUUGAUCAUUAGAAAACCCUUUUGCGAUUAUGUUAGCAGAGCUGAAAACUGUUGUUCUGAUUAAAGAAGCAAUAAAACUG
This is a long non-coding RNA of Oncorhynchus keta (chum salmon), 1405 nucleotides long. RefSeq lists it as uncharacterized. The record is from RefSeq and is a predicted model, not a curated record. The transcript has 2 exons. NCBI's taxonomy places the organism in Eukaryota, Metazoa, Chordata, Actinopteri, Salmoniformes, Salmonidae.